RNAcentral lists this ribosomal RNA (498 nucleotides) under Pediococcus acidilactici. RNAcentral describes it as "bacterial SSU rRNA". It matches the Rfam family "Bacterial small subunit ribosomal RNA", at positions 61 to 529 of the family's 1533-position model. The record is from RNAcentral. Lineage: Bacteria; Bacillati; Bacillota; Bacilli; Lactobacillales; Lactobacillaceae.
GUUAAUUGAUCAGGACGUGCUUGCACUGAAUGAGAUUUUAACACGAAGUAGNUGGCGGACGGGUGAGUAACACGUGGGUAACCUGCCCAGAAGCAGGGGAUAACACCUGGAAACAGAUGCUAAUACCGUAUAACAGAGAAAACCGCCUGGUUUUCUUUUAAAAGAUGGCUCUGCUAUCACUUCUGGAUGGACCCGCGGCGCAUUAGCUAGUUGGUGAGGUAACGGCUCACCAAGGCGAUGAUGCGUAGCCGACCUGAGAGGGUAAUCGGCCACAUUGGGACUGAGACACGGCCCAGACUCCUACGGGAGGCAGCAGUAGGGAAUCUUCCACAAUGGACGCAAGUCUGAUGGAGCAACGCCGCGUGAGUGAAGAAGGGUUUCGGCUCGUAAAGCUCUUUUGUUAAAGAAAAACGUGGGUGAAAGUAACUGUUCACCCAGUGACGGUAUUUAACCAGAAGGCCACGGCUAACUACGUGCCAGCAGCCGCGGUAAUACGUA